RNAcentral lists this long non-coding RNA (551 nucleotides) under Vigna radiata. Its description in RNAcentral is "long non-coding RNA (VRAD_LNC008382)". Lineage: Eukaryota; Viridiplantae; Streptophyta; Magnoliopsida; Fabales; Fabaceae. The record is from RNAcentral.
GCACUAUACUGACGUAUGAAAUUUGGGACAAUCUUUUUGAAGUCACAGUUCAUAAUGAAGACCAUCAAGUGCUUGUUAUAUGAUGAUCCAAAUUUUGAGGGGCAUGGAAAUCUUUCCAGUGGUAUAUUUAUGUUUCAACUAUAACAACCAUGUUAGCCUAUUAGUAGCAUUAUGAGAAAGGAAGUAAAGAUUUGUGGUUCAGGAUAGUAGAAGUUAAAGAAGAAUUUGUCAGUGAGCUUUUAAUGGUUUUUAUAUUUGUGGUUUAAUUUGAUUGAUUUUUUUAUCCCCUAAUUCUAAGCCAUCAUCUGUUAGAGAAUUUUUAAUGGUUUUUGAAAUUUUCUUUAAAUAUUUUAUUUGUCCAUAAUAUAUUGAAAUGUGUUUUAACUUAACUUUUUGUUAAUUUUUUGUUCAGGCACUGCUUGAGGCUAUAGGCGCUAGUGUCUACUUGGUCAGGAAACCGUUACAAAAUGUACAAGUAAUUCUUGUAACUAUAUGUAUGAAUAAGAGUUGUAUUUUUUUUAGUUCUGUUUAUAGAAUUAUCCUAUAAAGUU